UAGGGAAUCUUCCACAAUGGACGCAAGUCUGAUGGAGCAACGCCGCGUGAGUGAAGAAGGUCUUCGGAUCGUAAAGCUCUGUUGUUGGUGAAGAAGGAUAGAGGAGUAACUGGUCUUUAUUUGACGGUAAUCAACCAGAAAGUCACGGCUAACUACGUGCCAGCAGCCGCGGUAAUACGUAGGUGGCAAGCGUUGUCCGGAUUUAUUGGGCGUAAAGCGAGCGCAGGCGGAAUGAUAAGUCUGAUGUGAAAGCCCACGGCUCAACCGUGGAACUGCAUCGGAAACUGUCAUUCUUGAGUGCAGAAGAGGAGAGUGGAACUCCAUGUGUAGCGGUGGAAUGCGUAGAUAUAUGGAAGAACACCAGUGGCGAAGGCGGCUCUCUGGUCUGCAACUGACGCUGAGGCUCGAAAGCAUGGGUAGCGAACAGGAUUAGAUACCCUGGUAGUCCAUGCCGUAAACGAUGACGCGCUAGGUGUUGGGGACUUUCCGGUGCCUC
RNAcentral lists this ribosomal RNA (496 nucleotides) under uncultured bacterium. RNAcentral describes it as "partial 16S ribosomal RNA". It matches the Rfam family "Bacterial small subunit ribosomal RNA", at positions 355 to 849 of the family's 1533-position model. The record is from RNAcentral.